Molecule: ribosomal RNA, 495 nt
Filed under: uncultured bacterium
Lineage: Bacteria
Description: partial 16S ribosomal RNA
Rfam family: Bacterial small subunit ribosomal RNA
Source: RNAcentral
UGACCGCUGGCGGCGUGCCUAAUACAUGCAAGUCGAGCGAACGGACGAGAAGCUUGCUUUUCUGAUGUUAGCGGCGGACGGGUGAGUAACACGUGGAUAACCUACCUAUAAGACUGGGAUAACUUCGGGAAACCGGAGCUAAUACCGGAUAAUAUUUUGAACCGCAUGGUUCAAAAGUGAAGGACGGUCUUGCUGUCACUUAUAGAUGGAUCCGCGCUGCAUUAGCUAGUUGGUAAGGUAACGGCUUACCAAGGCAACGAUGCAUAGCCGACCUGAGAGGGUGAUCGGCCACACUGGAACUGAGACACGGUCCAGACUCCUACGGGAGGCAGCAGUAGGGAAUCUUCCGCAAUGGGCGAAAGCCUGACGGAGCAACGCCGCGUGAGUGAUGAAGGUCUUCGGAUCGUAAAACUCUGUUAUUAGGGAAGAACAUAUGUGUAAGUAACUGUGCACAUCUUGACGGUACCUAAUCAGAAAGCCACGGCUAACUACGUG